UACGUAGGGUGCGAGCGUUAAUCGGAAUUACUGGGCGUAAAGCGUGCGUAGGCGGUUUUACAAGCUUGAUGUGAAAGCCCCGGGCUUAACCUGGGAAUGGCAUUGAGGACUGUGAGGCUAGAGUGCGGCAGAGGGAGGUGGAAUUCCACGUGUAGCAGUGAAAUGCGUAGAGAUGUGGAGGAACACCGAUGGCGAAGGCAGCCUCCUGGGCCGACACUGACGCUGAUGCACGAAAGCGUGGGGAGCAAACAGG
RNAcentral lists this ribosomal RNA (253 nucleotides) under uncultured bacterium. RNAcentral describes it as "partial 16S ribosomal RNA". It matches the Rfam family "Bacterial small subunit ribosomal RNA", at positions 524 to 776 of the family's 1533-position model. The record is from RNAcentral.